GUCGAGAAUCUUUCGCAAUGGGGGCAACCCUGACGAAGCGACGCCGCGUGCAGGAUGAAGGUCUUCGGAUUGUAAACUGCUGUCUUUGGGGAGCAACUGACGGGGCGCUAAUACCGCCACGAACUGAUAGUACCCGAGGAGGAAGCCACGGCUAACUCUGUGCCAGCAGCCGCGGUAAUACAGAGGUGGCAAGCGUUGUUCGGAUUUACUGGGCGUAAAGGGUGCGUAGGCGGAGUCGUGUGUCGGGUGUGAAAGCCCACGGAUCAUCUGUGGAAUGGCACUCGAAACUGCGACUCUAGAGUGCAGGAGAGGAGGGCGGAAUUCUCGGUGUAGCGGUGAAAUGCGUUGAUAUCGAGAGGAACGCCGGUGGCGAAGGCGGCCCUCUGGACUGACACUGACGCUGAGGCACGAAAGCUGGGGGAGCAAACAGGAUUAGAAACCCGGGUAGUCC
This 451-nucleotide ribosomal RNA is filed under the name uncultured bacterium. Its description in RNAcentral is "bacterial SSU rRNA". It matches the Rfam family "Bacterial small subunit ribosomal RNA", at positions 354 to 796 of the family's 1533-position model. The record is from RNAcentral.